CCACGUUAGCUCCAGAUUCCGGUCAAUUGACAUCUCACCCUGUGGUGGCAUGAUAAGCUGCUUCUGCGUCUGUCCACGCACGCUGAAGUCAGCCGUGGGUGAGGGAGUCGUCGUCUUCUCCAAUUACUCGUCCUUGUCAUGGGAUGGGUAUGGAGGUCCGGGGUGGUGGCUGUUGGAGUCGGCAGGCACAAGCGAACAACGGGGUCCAGAUUAAGAUAAGCCUAGAGAAAGAGACAGGAGCAGGAAAAUGGAUUAGGUUGGCUACCACGCAAGAACAUAUGAGAGAGGGCCGAAAGGCCGUGUCUCAUGCGUGCAGGGGAGCGUCCGGGAAGAUGGCGAAAGAAGACGACGACGCGA
RNAcentral lists this long non-coding RNA (357 nucleotides) under Musa acuminata (dwarf banana). RNAcentral's name for it is "long non-coding RNA (MACU_LNC006554)". Lineage: Eukaryota; Viridiplantae; Streptophyta; Magnoliopsida; Zingiberales; Musaceae. The record is from RNAcentral.